Molecule: long non-coding RNA, 1613 nt
Filed under: Daphnia magna
Lineage: Eukaryota; Metazoa; Arthropoda; Branchiopoda; Diplostraca; Daphniidae
Description: uncharacterized LOC116919436, transcript variant X8
Source: RNAcentral
AGCGGAAUGCCAAAAACACGUAAAUUACCAAACUUUCUUGACUAAAAAGAAAAAGCAGCUCAAACCGGACCCCACUACAAAAAGUUGUUUGUGGUGAACUUUUAGAAGAAUUCAUUACAUUUGACAGGGAUUGAUUAUUUUUGUAGGGAACAGCAAUUUAGUUCUUGCGAAAAGACUAUGGUCAAUUCUUGUGCAUUUAUGCUAGUCUCCUUCAAGAAAAGGUGCGAUGACGAUGACGUAUUUUCCUUUUUGAUUCAAUCGUGAAAGGAACCAGCUUAUACCUUCUUGGGCCACACUCUCCCACUGAUGUUCGUCCGUGUGAUCGUCGAUCUGUUUGAGUCUCGCAUGCAAAGAGUCUUUUAGCAUCUUGACAGAACUUCGUAAUCGCUCGUCAUUAGAAUGAAGGAGAAAUAUGGCUACUGAUGACAUUUGCCCAUGUGUACUUCUGUCGCUGCAUUUCCUCUUCUUUGCUUCGUUGUGUUUCUUCCUUAGAAAAAUGACGGUCGCCGUCAAACAGCUUAAUAAAAGAAAAUUUACCAAUCCAGUGACAACUAUUUUCUGGUGAUUCGAGUCGUGUUACUUGAUCUUGUACAUGGAAGAUUUGUCGACGAAAGAGGAUAUAUGCAUCUGACAUCGACGGGGGUAACCUGUUGGAGCAAAAUAAAAUUAAUUCAAAAUAGCAGCCGCUUGGUUAUACAUAUGUUGAUUAAAGAAAGAAAGAUAACAUGAGCAACGAUAACAAAUCGCAAGGAAAGGUAAACAAUUGCCUCUAGCAGCAAUACAUUAAACAAAACAAAUUAAUAGAGGCUUUGCAAAAAGAAAGUGAGAAAUCAUAAGAAUAAAGAAACGGCCUCUCCUUCUCCUGUAAACAGCAAGUUUCCUCUUCGCACAGAACGGUUUUGAUCUCGUAAGUAUGCUGUUUAACAUAGUGCACUGUUAAAUGUCGUAAUCCAUUUAACGUUUUGCGGUUCCUAUGCGUUACAUCACUGUUCUUCAAUUUUCUGGAUUCCGUAAGAAAAUGGACUUAGUCUGAAUGUUCCGAUCCCGAAUCGUCUCUCAAUGUCAUCAGUUUUGAUUUGUCCGUCAUUUCUUACCCUUUUCACGCCCUGUCCAUAUAAAUUGACGACAGAAUGCUUUAGUUUGUAAAUUCCCUCCUUUAAGGCUAGGUUAGCUUUGAUGCUGGCUGUAGAAUGUUUUUCUUGAUCUGGAGAAAUACAGGAUAGGUAAGAGAAAGGUUGGCAGAUGCUGAAGCGACUCUGACCCGCCAGUGCUCUCGUUGGAUGGAAUUCUUGAAACUCGUUUAAGACAUGGUUUGAAAGAAAGGCUGCGAGUUGGAUUCGUAUCAGUAGUGACCAACUCGUUAUCUCUUUUUGAAAGCUCUCCCUCGGAAGACGCGGUAGGUUGGCCUUUCAACAAAUUACUGCUCAUUGACUGUCUUAUAGGAAUCGUGCGGGAUCCAAAAGACGUUUUGAAAGAAUCCUUAUUUUGGAUCUUGCGCAAGUUUUCGCCAACAAUGAGGUCGGCUGUCAACUUAUCACCACGAGAUACUGAUGUUGUUUUUGCCUGAAAGUAACUUUUUUUUUUUUACUAAGAAAACCAAGCUUAUCUAAUUA